Non-coding RNA from Dermacentor albipictus, 465 nucleotides. NCBI's taxonomy places the organism in Eukaryota, Metazoa, Arthropoda, Arachnida, Ixodida, Ixodidae. The record is from RefSeq and is a predicted model, not a curated record.
UUAUCACUUGUAGCCGAUCCCUUCGGAAGUCAUCUGCUCCAAGUGAAUUAUGAAGACGCCAGUUUUGGGAUAUGCAUUCUCAAGUUUCAUGACGAACUGCUUUGGUGUUCCAGCAGUUUUUUUGUGCCUCAGUGUGUAAAGAGACAUUGUGAAGAAAAGUAAGCAGACGAACAGUGCAUUUUCAUCGCAAGUUUGACGGUGCUUAUUUCAAAAGGUGAUUUAAAAAAAAUGAUAAUGUCAAAAUAAGGAUGCCCGGUUACUAGAACUGCUCACAUUCAUUUACUUGGAUGCACAUACAUUGCUUUGCCUUUUUUUACAGAAAAGACGUGUUUACCUGCACUGGUGUCACCUCCAAUUGAAGAACAGCAGCUAGGCUGGAUGGGUCGGUGACAUAGAGGCUCUCCUGUACUUGACUGUUGUCUCCAGUAUCCAUUGCAGCCUGGUAGCAAGAGCACAUGCCAGCCA